Molecule: ribosomal RNA, 458 nt
Filed under: uncultured bacterium
Lineage: Bacteria
Description: SSU rRNA
Rfam family: Bacterial small subunit ribosomal RNA
Source: RNAcentral
AGAAUCAACGCUGGCGGCGUGCCUAACACAUGCAAGUCGCACGAGAAAGGGACUUCGGUCCUGAGUACAGUGGCGCACGGGUGAGUAACACGUGAAUAAUCUACCUCCGAGUGGGGAAUAACUGAGAGAAAUCUUAGCUAAUACCGCAUAACACUUACGAGUCAAAGCAGCAAUGCGCUUGGAGAGGAGUUCGCGGCAGAUUAGUUAGUUGGCGGGGUAAUGGCCCACCAAGACGAUGAUCUGUAUCCGGCCUGAGAGGGCGCACGGACACACUGGAACUGAAACACGGUCCAGACUCCUACGGGAGGCAGCAGUGGGGAAUUUUGCGCAAUGGGGGAAACCCUGACGCAGCAACGCCGCGUGGAGGAUGAAAUCCCUUGGGAUGUAAACUCCUUUCGAUCGGGAAGAUAAUGACGGUACCGAGAGAAGAAGCCCGGCUAACUCGUGCCAGCAGCCGC